Long non-coding RNA from Mustela erminea (ermine), 1332 nucleotides. RefSeq lists it as uncharacterized. The transcript is spliced from 5 exons. Lineage: Eukaryota; Metazoa; Chordata; Mammalia; Carnivora; Mustelidae. The record is from RefSeq and is a predicted model, not a curated record.
AAGUAUGUAAUUAAAACUUGACAGUUAAAAAAGAAAAUGCCUUACAGUUCAUUCCUGGAUACCAAUAGAGAUGGCAAGAUUGGUUUUGCAGAAACAAGGUUGUGGAAAACUGGGACUUACCCCAAAGCCGCAAAGCAGGCAAUCACGAAGAGUAUUUGGGACACUGAAAUCUGGACACACAUUUAUAAGUAAACAGCUAUCAAGCAUCAAGUUAAGUUGUCACUUCCCCCUCCCCCAUGCCAUUAAUUUUCUGCUAUGCUACUAAGAGAAACAAAUAUCCCUUAGACUUCCAAUGAUCACAUCGCUGAUACAUGUACAGCCCAGAAAAGUAAAGUUCAAGCGAGAGAGAUUCUUUUGGGCUAAGAAUCUGAAAUUACUUUCCAAAUUAGAGAUGCCGUUUGCUAUAGCCAUUUUAAUGGGUACGUGGUACUAGCCAAAGGCUUAUGCCUUCUAAUAUGUACAUGUAAAAGUGUCUGUUUUAGAACUGUAUUUGUUGACUAAAGGUAUUCAUUUUAAAACUACCAAAUAACAAACUUCUAUUUUUGAUCACCCGUUAUUACUUCAGUCCAAAUUAUCUAUUUACUUUAAUUUAAAAUCCCAACGGUCUCGUUCUCCAUUUGAACGUCCCAUGCGGGGCUCCCUUACAACUCCAGGAACAUUUUGUAGACUUUCUUUGGAGCACACGCGGCUUAAAAUUUUAGAAAUUAAAUCUCAAAUUUUGGAAUCCAGUAUAUCUUGUCUACAGGGUCCAGGUUGGCAACUAAAAUUUAAUCCAAUUUCGGCAGUAGAAUUCAACGACUAAAACUGAGACGUUCGUGGCAGCCUUUAGGGGUCUCACUGUCAAAAAAGUGAACUUCAUAUGGACACUGGGGAAGAAUUUUCAGAAUUCAGAAGACCCAAACUGGGACACAAAGCAGAAUUUCUGGUUGACCAAUGGGACGGUUCCUCCAGUUUAGGAAAGAUUCACGCCGAUCUAUUUUCAACUAUGAAUGAUCAGUUUGCAGAUUGAAACCAAUACCAGCUCGGGAUGUACACUGACUACUGCUUUUCUGAAACCAAAAUGAUCCCGUGUCACAACCAAACCGUUUACCCAUAAUGUGAUGAUGCUGAGGUCUGACUAAAUGGCUAGGCAAGCUGGACCUGAAGAGAAUGAAAAAGGAAAAGGAGGAAGAAGGUCCAGUUACAUUGCUAUUGUCAUGGCAGACCCACCAGCUCCACUAAAAUGUGUAGGCACAGGACUGUCUAAUUCACCCAGCACUUCCAAUGAAUUGUAAAAAUUACCCCUGAAGGUAGAGCACCUUUUCUUUGGGUUUAAGGAGAACAAAAAUAAAA